Molecule: transfer RNA, 69 nt
Filed under: Zoodes fulguratus
Lineage: Eukaryota; Metazoa; Arthropoda; Insecta; Coleoptera; Cerambycidae
Description: tRNA-Gln
Source: RNAcentral
UACAUUUUAGUAUAUGUUGUAUAAAAACUUUUGAUGUUUUAGGGGUUAGUUUAAAUCUAGCAGGUGUAG